GGUGAGAUGGCUGAGUGGUAAGGCACCUAUCGUCUACGGACUUGACGAUCAGGAUCCGGAAGGGCGUGGGUUCGAAUCCCACUCUCAUCA
Molecule: non-coding RNA, 90 nt
Organism: Pisolithus thermaeus
Lineage: Eukaryota; Fungi; Basidiomycota; Agaricomycetes; Boletales; Pisolithaceae
Source: the annotation of a GenBank genome assembly